GAGUUUGAUCCUGGCUCAGAACGAACGCUGGCGGCAUGCCUAACACAUGCAAGUCGAACGAACUCUUCGGAGUUAGUGGCGCACGGGUGCGUAACGCGUGGGAAUCUGCCCUUGGGUACGGAAUAACUCAGAGAAAUUUGUGCUAAUACCGGUAUAAUGACUCCGGUCCAAAGAUUUAUCGCCCAAGGAUGAGCCCGCGUAAGAUUAGCUAGUUGGUGGGGUAAAGGCCUACCAAGGCUACGAUCUUUAGCUGGUCUGAGAGGAUGAUCAGCCACACUGGGACUGAGACACGGCCCAGACUCCCUACGGGAGGCAGCAGUGGGGAAUAUUGGACAAUGGGCGAAAGCCUGAUCCAGCAAUGCCGCGUGAGUGAUGAAGGCCUUAGGGUUGUAAAGCUCUUUUACCCGGGAUGAUAAUGACAGUACCGGGAGAAUAAGCUCCGGCUAACUCCGUGCCAGCCGCCGCCGUAAG
This 471-nucleotide ribosomal RNA is filed under the name uncultured microorganism. Its description in RNAcentral is "bacterial SSU rRNA". It matches the Rfam family "Bacterial small subunit ribosomal RNA", at positions 9 to 524 of the family's 1533-position model. The record is from RNAcentral.